This 499-nucleotide ribosomal RNA is filed under the name uncultured Brevibacterium sp. RNAcentral describes it as "bacterial SSU rRNA". It matches the Rfam family "Bacterial small subunit ribosomal RNA", at positions 380 to 870 of the family's 1533-position model. Lineage: Bacteria; Bacillati; Actinomycetota; Actinomycetes; Micrococcales; Brevibacteriaceae. The record is from RNAcentral.
AGUCUGACGGAGCAACGCCGCGUGAACGAAGAAGGCCUUCGGGUCGUAAAGUUCUGUUGUUAGGGAAGAACAAGUACCAGAGUAACUGCUGGUACCUUGACGGUACCUAACCAGAAAGCCACGGCUAACUACGUGCCAGCAGCCGCGGUAAUACGUAGGUGGCAAGCGUUGUCCGGAAUUAUUGGGCGUAAAGCGCGCGCAGGUGGUUCCUUAAGUCUGAUGUGAAAGCCCACGGCUCAACCGUGGAGGGUCAUUGGAAACUGGGGAACUUGAGUGCAGAAGAGGAAAGUGGAAUUCCAAGUGUAGCGGUGAAAUGCGUAGAGAUUUGGAGGAACACCAGUGGCGAAGGCGACUUUCUGGUCUGUAACUGACACUGAGGCGCGAAAGCGUGGGGAGCAAACAGGAUUAGAUACCCUGGUAGUCCACGCCGUAAACGAUGAGUGCUAAGUGUUAGAGGGUUUCCGCCCUUUAGUGCUGCAGCUAACGCAUUAAGCACUCC